RNAcentral lists this ribosomal RNA (497 nucleotides) under uncultured Actinomycetes bacterium. Its description in RNAcentral is "bacterial SSU rRNA". It matches the Rfam family "Bacterial small subunit ribosomal RNA", at positions 8 to 522 of the family's 1533-position model. Lineage: Bacteria; Bacillati; Actinomycetota; Actinomycetes. The record is from RNAcentral.
AGAGUUUGAUCCUGGCUCAGGACGAACGCUGGCGGCGUGCUUAACACAUGCAAGUCGAACGAUGAACCACUUCGGUGGGGAUUAGUGGCGAACGGGUGAGUAACACGUGGGCAAUCUGCCCUUCACUCUGGGACAAGCCCUGGAAACGGGGUCUAAUACCGGAUAGCACUUCCACUCGCAUGGGUGGGGGUUGAAAGCUCCGGCGGUGAAGGAUGAGCCCGCGGCCUAUCAGCUUGUUGGUGAGGUAAUGGCUCACCAAGGCGACGACGGGUAGCCGGCCUGAGAGGGCGACCGGCCACACUGGGACUGAGACACGGCCCAGACUCCUACGGGAGGCAGCAGUGGGGAAUAUUGCACAAUGGGCGAAAGCCUGAUGCAGCGACGCCGCGUGAGGGAUGACGGCCUUCGGGUUGUAAACCUCUUUCAGCAGGGAAGAAGCGAAAGUGACGGUACCUGCAGAAGAAGCGCCGGCUAACUACGUGCCAGCAGCCGCGGUA